AGCAUUGAAACAAUUGAAAAGUACCUCAACCCGGACAACAUAAUUAGCUCUCAAGAUUGUUUUAUCUGAAAAGUAUUUAAUUCGAAGAAGCGGUGACCCUUCAACGACUACUAUCUACCGACAACUGAGUUGAAAAGAUCCGCCGUUAUACACCGCAAGGAGAAAAGCAGAACCAAAUGUUACCCUAACCAGCUAUUUCGACAUAAUGGCAAAACCUUUCCAUCCAUGAAAAGUUGCAGUUCCUCUGUGGGUGACUAAUUUUUACUUAUUCGUCUGUAAGCUGAGCGUGGAUCAUAGGGACAGAUUCGUCCCAUUGUGCUUCAAACCAGUUUCCAGCAACCGGCUUGGCCAGAUUGUACUUCUCAGAAAACUUUUUGGCGCAAAAGUGCGCCCUACGUUUUCCUGAUCUAAAUUUAAAACGUCAGCGAGCGGACAUUCACGUAAGGUAUAGGAUACAGAGAUACCUUUUGGUCAACUUAGAUUCGUCGCAGAUGAGAGUGCCAGGCUGCUUGUAGGCCAAGAACACAUAUCGAUGCAAACCUGCAAUUAUCACCACGAGGAGCAGAUCCAACAUACUGGGACAAAACCUUAAAACAAUAAAACUUUUUGGUCUCAUAAGUACAUUAUGCAGAAAAAAUGUAUGCUGAUUACAUCUCCUCUCUUGAAGUCGUCGCCAGGAAUGUUUACUACAAGCCAAUGUUGCCACUCUCGGGCUGUUGGCUUUGUCCUCGUUGGGGCAUCAGGAUCUGUCAAAGUUAAACAUUUCUGAUACAAAGAUUUGCCAUUUCACACGGACAGGUUCAUUCUGAACUUCAGUAGGUGUCAAUUCGUUUCCCUCUUUUACGAUGGCACCACUAUCAUACUCGACCUAAACUUCCGGCUGGUGCAACAUCGACGACAUCCGGGACAAUUGCGUGUCCUUUCAUUGCUCCUUUGUUGAAUUCCUCUGGAUGAUGAGAAUACAAAGAAGGGAACUAAAAAUAUGGACAGACAAGAACGGAUAAUUUCCCGGGUCUGUGCCGGUGAUCUCUUACUUCUGCGGUUGGAGAACGACUAUGACUAUUCAAGCGACAAUGAGGCUAUACGAACGAAUAACGUCGACGUUCGAACUGCAACGACUUAAAUUGGCGUAAGUGUAGUGGAUUCUGCCGUUAACAAUGUGUUCCAGUUUCCCCGUAUGUCAUCAAGUAAGUGUAAAAACCGUUUCGGGGACGAUUUGUAACUGAAAUAUUGGGGCGUUAUCCGCAUCUUCCCUGCAUUUUGGGAUAAAGCCCUCUAAUAAUCUAUAGAGAAAAACGGCCAAGAGUUUAUCUCUUAAGCAAUGGAUUAUAUUUGUUUGACCGGUUAAACAGUAAUAACUUUAGCUAACAAUAUCCCGCUAAAACUUUGAAAACUUAAGGUUUUUGCAG
Daphnia carinata is the source of this 1409-nucleotide long non-coding RNA. RefSeq lists it as uncharacterized. NCBI's taxonomy places the organism in Eukaryota, Metazoa, Arthropoda, Branchiopoda, Diplostraca, Daphniidae. The transcript has 8 exons. The record is from RefSeq and is a predicted model, not a curated record.